GGCAACAAAAACUUCCAAUUAAGUUUUAAAAUAAAAGGUAGAAGUUAAAAGCAGCUGCUGCCUGGGGUUAGCACUAUGGAAACCUGCAGUUGCCCGAAGCAGUACUUCAAAAGGAGAAAAAACGACAUUUAAAAAAGCCUACCAGCACGGAGACACUCUCUACUGGAACAGGCAACCCUCUGUUUCGCAAGAACACCGAUCUCAGACGUUUCUUCAACCAGCCAAGGUAUUGCAACUGCCAACGGUCCCUGGAAAUCUUCCCUCAGCUGUCAGAACGGAAACAAUACAGAGAGCACAACCAAGUUCAUUAUUUUGAAUUCAGGAGUCACGUUCAGCCUUCAAUUUCCUCGCGGUUUUUGCUGUUCCGACGCGAAGUAGAAUACUUGGCCUUUUCAUGAAUCUGCUGUUUGAAUUACUUCCUC
This is a long non-coding RNA of Tachyglossus aculeatus (Australian echidna), 422 nucleotides long. RefSeq lists it as uncharacterized. The record is from RefSeq and is a predicted model, not a curated record. Lineage: Eukaryota; Metazoa; Chordata; Mammalia; Monotremata; Tachyglossidae. The transcript is spliced from 3 exons.